GUAGGCGGCAGAGUAAGUAGAUAGUGAAAGCGUGAGGCUCAACCUCAUAAACAUUAUCUAAACUACUCAGCUAGAGAAUGGGAGAGGUCACUGGAAUUUCUUGUGUAGGAGUGAAAUCCGUAGAUAUAAGAAGGAACACCGAUGGCGUAGGCAGGUGACUGGCCCAUUUCUGACGCUCAGGCACGAAAGCGUGGGGAGCGACCGGGAUUAGAUACCCCGUUAGUCCACGCCGUAAACUAUGGAUGCUAGCUGUUAUGAGUAUCGACCCUCGUAGUAGCGAAGCUAACGCGUUAAGCAUCCCGCCUGUGGAGUACGAGCGCAAGCUUAAAACAUAAAGGAAUUGACGGGGACCCGCACAAGCGGUGGAGCGUGUUCUUUAAUUCGAUGGUAAGCGAAGAACCUUACCAGGGUUUGACAUCCUACUAAUCCGACCGAAAGGUUGGAGUGUCUUCGGACCGUAGUGACAGGUGUUGCAUGGCCGUCGUCAGCUCGUGUCGUGAGAUGCUUGGUUAAGUCCAUCAACGAGCGCAACCCUUGUAGUCAGUUGAAUUUUUCUGGCUAGACUGCCCCGGUAACGGGGAGGAAGGAGGGGAUGACGUCAGGUCAGUAUUACCCUUACACCCUGGGCUAGAAACACGCUACAAUGGCCGGUACAAAGGGCUGCCAAGUCGCGAGACGGAGCAAAUCCCAUCAAAGCCGGUCUCAGUUCGGAUAGCAGGCUGAAACUCGCCUGCUUGAAGUUGGAAUCGCUAGUAACGGUAGGUCAGCACACUACCGUGAAUACGUUCCCGGGUCUUGUACACACCGCCCGUCAAACCAUGAAAGUCACCAAUACCUGACGUCUUAGCUAGUCUAGGCCUAAGGUAGGGGGGAUAAUUGGGGUU
This 884-nucleotide ribosomal RNA is filed under the name uncultured Candidatus Saccharibacteria bacterium. Its description in RNAcentral is "bacterial SSU rRNA". It matches the Rfam family "Bacterial small subunit ribosomal RNA", at positions 571 to 1482 of the family's 1533-position model. The record is from RNAcentral. Lineage: Bacteria; Candidatus Saccharimonadota.